Molecule: ribosomal RNA, 529 nt
Filed under: uncultured bacterium
Lineage: Bacteria
Description: bacterial SSU rRNA
Rfam family: Bacterial small subunit ribosomal RNA
Source: RNAcentral
CUUGACAUCCAGCGAACUUGGCAGAGAUGCCUUGGUGCCUUCGGGAACGCUGAGACAGGUGUUGCAUGGCUGUCGUCAGCUCGUGUUGUGAAAUGUUGGGUUAAGUCCCGNAACGAGCGCAACCCUUAUCCUUUGUUGCCAGCGAUUCGGUCGGGAACUCAAAGGAGACUGCCGGUGAUAAACCGGAGGAAGGUGGGGAUGACGUCAAGUCAUCAUGGCCCUUACGAGUAGGGCUACACACGUGCUACAAUGGCGCAUACAAAGAGAAGCGACCUCGCGAGAGCAAGCGGACCUCAUAAAGUGCGUCGUAGUCCGGAUCGGAGUCUGCAACUCGACUCCGUGAAGUCGGAAUCGCUAGUAAUCGUGGAUCAGAAUGCCACGGUGAAUACGUUCCCGGGCCUUGUACACACCGCCCGUCACACCAUGGGAGUGGGUUGCAAAAGAAGUAGGUAGCUUAACCCUCGGGAGGGCGCUUACCACUUUGUGAUUCAUGACUGGGGUGAAGUCGUAACAAGGUAAGCGUAGCGAG